GAUGCUGCUGCUUGGCCUAGUAGUUAGAGCGUCCGCCUCUGAUGCGGGAGGUCGUGGGUUCGAUCCACGGCCUAGUCAUACCA
Molecule: non-coding RNA, 83 nt
Organism: Potamilus streckersoni
Lineage: Eukaryota; Metazoa; Mollusca; Bivalvia; Unionida; Unionidae
Source: the annotation of a GenBank genome assembly